UGUGGGAGCGGGCUUGCUCGCGAUGGCGGUGGUUCAGUCAAUAUCUUCGGUGACUGACACUGCGCUAUCGCGAGCAAGCCCGCUCCCACA
Molecule: unclassified non-coding RNA, 90 nt
Filed under: Pseudomonas gessardii
Lineage: Bacteria; Pseudomonadati; Pseudomonadota; Gammaproteobacteria; Pseudomonadales; Pseudomonadaceae
Source: RNAcentral